GAUGAACGCUGGCGGCGUGCCUAAUACAUGCAAGUCGAGCGAACAGACGAGGAGCUUGCUCCUCUUACGUUAGCGGCGGACGGGUGAGUAACACGUGGAUAACCUACCUAUAAGACUGGGAUAACUUCGGGAAACCGGAUCUAAUACCGGAUAAUAUAUUGAACCGCAUGGUUCAUUAGUGAAAGACGGUUUUGCUGUCACUUAUAGAUGGAUCCGCGCCGCAUUAGCUAGUGGGUAAGGUAACGGCUUACCAAGGCAACGAUGCGUAGCCGACCUGAGAGGGUGAUCGGCCACACUGGAACUGAGACACGGUCCAGACUCCUACGGGAGGCAGCAGUGGGGAAUCUUCCGCAAUGGGCGAAAGCCUGACGGAGCAACGCCGCGUGAGUGAUGAAGGUCUUCGGAUCGUAAAACUCUGUUAUUAGGGAAGAACAAAUGUGUAAGUAACUAUGCACGUCUUGACGGUACCUAAUCAGAAAGCCACGGCUAACUACGUG
Molecule: ribosomal RNA, 497 nt
Filed under: uncultured bacterium
Lineage: Bacteria
Description: partial 16S ribosomal RNA
Rfam family: Bacterial small subunit ribosomal RNA
Source: RNAcentral